Hippopotamus amphibius kiboko is the source of this 2215-nucleotide long non-coding RNA. RefSeq lists it as uncharacterized. The transcript is spliced from 4 exons. Lineage: Eukaryota; Metazoa; Chordata; Mammalia; Artiodactyla; Hippopotamidae. The record is from RefSeq and is a predicted model, not a curated record.
AACUCUCUGUCAUGGGCCCAGCCAGAUGCACAUGGCAAAUGCUCAGGACAUGUAGCAGCUUAAGCUAAGAUGAUGAAGCUCUACUGGCCAGGCCAACAACCUAGGAGUCAUCCUUGACUGUUCUGUCUCUCAUACCUUUCUGAGGUUGGGCUCCCCUGGCAGCAGCCCUUGAGAUAAGGAUGUGAGGGUCUGAGUUGUGGCACGUGGGAUCUUCACUGAGUCGUGUUGGAUCGUUUGUUGCAGCGCAUGGGCUCUUUGUCGUGGCCCUUCUCUCUAGCUGUGGCAUGUACCAACCUGUGGCUUCCAGAAAGGCCAGUGAAGGAAGGAGCAUCCUGUCCACUGCCCACCAGGGUGAUCAAGCCAAGAAACCAGCCAGUUGUAUGUCGCCUGUGGGUCCCUAAUCCAGAGGUGGGACUCCCACGCACGCCUACACCAGUAUAUGGAAAUCUGCCGCCUCAGCCCAUUCCCCAGGGGACUUCUUUUGGAGACAGGAAAAUAAAGGAAUAGGCAAAUACAUCUGUACCAUGUGACUUUGUGAUGUAUUUUUUUCACCUCUUGACUGGAGGCUCAGCCAUGAAACUUGACUUGGACAAAGAACUCUUAGUGGAUGAGACCAGGAAAGGCUUGGAAAAUGCACGUACUGUUGGGGUCAUGUCUCUUACGCCUCUUAUACCAUUCUGCUGUUAAGCUCACCUGGUGAAUUUUUAAAUUUCACAUAUAUUUUCACGCUAUUUUUAAGGAGCCAUUUUUGCUCUAAAAUUUCCACUUGUUUUAAAAAAUAGUUUCUGUUUCUUUGCUGAGAUUUCCUAUCUUUGCGUUCAUAUGAACAUGUUUUUCUUUACCUCACUAAAUAGUUAUUAUAGCUGCCUUAAAAUCCUAAGGUCUAAUAAUUCCAUUAUCCGGUUCAUCUUAGAGCCGGUAUCUAUUGAUUGUCUCUUCUCUCUCUCUCUCUUGUUUUAAAUAUUUAUUUAUUUUGGCUGUGCCGAGUCAGUUGCGGCACGUGGGAUCUUCUUUGCCGCAUGUGGGAUCUUCAUUGCAGCAUGCUGGAUCCUUUGUUGUGACAUGUGCACUCUUAGUUGCUGCAUGCAUGUGGGAUCUAGUUCCCCCAUCAGGGAUUGAACCCGGGGCCCCAUCAUUGGGGGUGCAGAGUCCUACCCACUGGACCACAAGAGAAGUCCCUGCCUCUUCUCUUGAGACUGGGUCACACCCUGGCUUUUCAUGUGUUGAACGGUUUUGGAUUAUAUCUUGGACAUUGUGAAUGUUACAUUGUAGAGACUGAAUUCUGUUAUAUUGCUCUGAAAGGUGACUAUUUUUAUUUUUGCAGGCAAUUAACUUAGAUACAAACUGCGAACUUUUAUGCCUGCAGUGGUUUAUGCUUGCAGUGGAAGGCCACUCAGAUCUUAGUUUAGUUCUUUAAGUUUUAGCUGCAAGCUGCUUUCAGUUUUCCCCAAGUAAGUAUGGUUCAGGGGUCAGGGUUAAUUAAAAACCUGGGCUAAGUUUAUAUAAAGAAUUUGGGAUUCCCUUUUGCUGACUUUUUCUUUCCGGGGUUCCUCCUUACUCUCCAGUGGUCACUGUUGCCUCAGGCUCCCUCUCCUUCGUCUGGCCAGAAAGACCACAGGCGUUCUUACCAGAGUUGUAGCCAACCUUGCGGCAUCCUCCACAGCAACUGCAGUUGACCUCAGGCCAAAGCCACGAAAAUUAGGAACUCACUCCAUGCCUCUUGCUUGUUCCAAUUUUCAACAUCCCUCCAAAACCUGUCUUUUAUACAAUCUCUCGUGCUCUCAACUGUAUUUUUAAACCUUUUUCCCGAGUUUAUAGCACCUAUUUGCAGAUUGAUCAGUUUGUUAGGUGUUAUAUGCUGAAUUCUCCAGGCCAGAAGCAGAACAUUCUUUAGGGUGACAAGUUUAAGUCAAAUUGUUCUUGAUGGGUCUUCUCAAAUAGUACAGAGUUGUCUUUUGCACCUCUUACCAUCACCUUUUCUCUGCUUUAUUCUUCUUAUAGAACUUAUCACUGCCUGAUGUUGUCUAUAUUUGUGUAUAAUCUCUCCUCCCCAUUAAAAUGUAAGUUCUACGAGAGUAUGGUCUUUAUCUGUUCUGCCUCAGCGUGGAUGGAAAGCCUCAGCUCCCUGUAAAAGGGGAAAAAUCUGGGAGAGGUGGGAAGGUGUGGGCACCAGGAGGGGCCUUAGCAGCAGCUACGCUGAAGUGUAGGUGGGUCU